UCCCUUCAGUUCAAUGAAUCAGUAAACUUGAAGCGAUCCCAUUCUAAGCUUUUAAGGGAGGGAGAGAAGAAACUAUGAAGAGCAUCGCCUUACUCUUUGCGCUCACUUUGCUUCUGGCUUCCUCCACGGAGGUAGCACUUUCCGCUCGGAUGCCUCUUGCAAACUAUGACCCCCAAGAGAAAUAUAAGCAACCCACCGUGAAGUGCAAGCCACACGAGGAAUGCUGCGUUUUUGGGAGCUCUCCGAUAACUGAUUGCCGUAUGUGCUCUCGUUUAUGUCCAUGAGAUUUGAUUAUAGUCAAGAAGCAGCGUGAGCCCUUUUGUUGGGCUUUGAAUAAUUGUAUGUUUACCUGUGUGUGUGAUGUUUGUAACAUUGCUUAGUAUGAAAUAAAAAGGGGCCUUUCGAUGCAUAUUAUGUGGAAAAGGAUUUGGGUUAUCUCCACUCCUCCAUAUAUAAUAGGCAGAAAAGGAGAACAAUUCUCGAGUUACAAGUA
Long non-coding RNA from Asparagus officinalis (garden asparagus), 493 nucleotides. RefSeq lists it as uncharacterized. The transcript has 2 exons. NCBI's taxonomy places the organism in Eukaryota, Viridiplantae, Streptophyta, Magnoliopsida, Asparagales, Asparagaceae. The record is from RefSeq and is a predicted model, not a curated record.